GGAUUGUGGCUCAGUGGUAGAGCACUCGCCUCGUCUGUGCGAGACCCUGGGUUUGAUCCUUAGCACCA
This 68-nucleotide transfer RNA is filed under the name Marmota monax (woodchuck). RNAcentral's name for it is "tRNA.Thr". The record is from RNAcentral. Lineage: Eukaryota; Metazoa; Chordata; Mammalia; Rodentia; Sciuridae.